Molecule: long non-coding RNA, 455 nt
Organism: Electrophorus electricus (electric eel)
Lineage: Eukaryota; Metazoa; Chordata; Actinopteri; Gymnotiformes; Gymnotidae
Source: RefSeq, a predicted model, not a curated record
UUUCAAGGCAUCACUCGCGCGCAGCCCGUGCUGAAUGCUGGCAUAAACACGCAACCGGCUCAGCGCCAAACCCUGUGGUGAGCUGAAUGGGGCCUGUGUUUCACUGCGGCUAAAUCUCUCCGGACGACGCCGCGUUUCUGUGGCGCGGGUUCAGCUAAAAAACCCUGCUUACAUUCCCCUCCACGACAUAAAACUACAAAUCCUGCAUCACAUAAAACAGGACAGACUCUAAGGACACCAUCAUACCAGUCAGAGACCAGAGGCGACACACACACACCACAGGGGACUCAUCUGUUCAGACAGGGAAGGAACUUUCCACCACCGGCACUUUGCCGGCGUUCCAAGAAAAGUCUCCAUGCACAUCUUCAUUUCUGAAGGGUGGCAGGUGAAACUGAAUCCUCUGCCUCGAACACGGCAGGGACCUGUGGAGGACACAAUUAAUAAUACACGGUCAA